GGAAAAGAAACUAACAAGGAUUCCCCUAGUAACGGCGAGUGAAGUGGGAAAAGCUCAACUUUGUAAUCUGGCAGCUUCGCUGUCCGAGUUGUAGUCUCGAGAAAUGUUUUCCGCGCUGGCAUGUGUAUGAGUCUGUUGGAAUACAGCGUCAUAGAGGGUGAGAACCCCGUUCAUGACACAUCUCCCAGUGCUUUGUGAUACAUUUUCGAUGAGUCGAGUUGUUUGGGAAUGCAGCUCAAAAUGGGUGGUAAAUUCCAUCUAAAGCUAAAUAUUGGCGAGAGACCGAUUGCAAACAAGUACCGUGAGGGAAAGAUGAAAAGCACUUUGGAAAGAGAGUUAAAAGUACGUGAAAUUGUUGAAAGGGAAACGCUUGAAGUCAGACGUGCGCAGUGCGAUUCAGCUCUAUUUCGGUAGAGUGUAUUUCGUGCUAUUGCAGGCCAGCAUCGGUUUUGCGAGCCGGAUAAAGGUUAGUAGAAGGUAGCAUCUUCGGAUGUGUUAUAGCUUCUAACUGAAUACGGAUUCCGAGACCGAGGGACGCAGCACGGCGCAAGCCAGAAGAUUCGUCUUCUUCGUGCUUAGGAUGCUGGUGAAAUGGCUUUAAACGACCCGUCU
RNAcentral lists this ribosomal RNA (612 nucleotides) under Buckleyzyma aurantiaca. RNAcentral's name for it is "partial large subunit ribosomal RNA". It matches the Rfam family "Eukaryotic large subunit ribosomal RNA", at positions 55 to 654 of the family's 3401-position model. Lineage: Eukaryota; Fungi; Basidiomycota; Cystobasidiomycetes; Buckleyzymales; Buckleyzymaceae. The record is from RNAcentral.